Gekko japonicus is the source of this 968-nucleotide long non-coding RNA. RefSeq lists it as uncharacterized. The record is from RefSeq and is a predicted model, not a curated record. NCBI's taxonomy places the organism in Eukaryota, Metazoa, Chordata, Lepidosauria, Squamata, Gekkonidae. The transcript is spliced from 3 exons.
CUGUCAGUUGGGAAUCCCUCUAUAUAGGAAGAGAGAGAGAGAUGAAUAUGGCAGUCUCUUCCGACCGAGACAGGAAUAAUAGACCCCUGUGUGUAGGGCUGCAACGUACGGGCACGAUCCUGCCAACGCAAGGGCGUCUUAAGAACGCAAGCUUAGGAGUUCCGGAGGGGAAUGCUGACGGGAGAGGCCCAGGGGCAGAUCCGUAUAUCCUCUAGAGGCAGGAAAACGAGAUUCAAAAUGUUCAAGAGACCGUUUUCAAAGUCUCCUGGCUAAGGAUCUUCCCCACGUAGCAGCAGAACGUGCCCAGACUCCAUAGAGACGUAUGCAAAAGGAAAGUGCGCCUCGGCAAGAACCGCUCACUGAGCCACAAACAACUCUGGAUCAAGCCAGCCACAAAUGUCAUUUUUGUGGCCUCCUCAUUGAUCUACUGAGUCCUGGAGAGUAACCUACCGGAUCCAGGAAGCCCGAAACCUCCAAAUAACUCCAAUGACCUUAGGAGAACAAGCCAGGAAGGCGUUUUGAGUGUUGGCUAGAAGAGCAUAUUAAAAUACAAGGCAUUCUCUGUAGUAAAAACUGGGUACCUCAUUCCAGCUGUCUAUAUAUAUUCCUUCCCAGCACUAAAUCUGUCCAGGGACCUUUCAGAAAUACAACAUUAAGCCUCAUGCCUUCGCUUAGUGAAUAGAAAUGUGAAAAGGAUGGAGAUAAAAAUCAGAGGGACAUACAAUAGCGAAUGUUCUAUGAUUUAAUCACCAUUACAGCUUAAAACAGCCCAGCCGACAUUCACCCUUGGUAAGGCAGGGAUAAAUCUCAGCCGAUGGCCUCCUUCAAAGAGUGACGGCACCGUCGUUUCAGGCCCUUUUUUAGAAGGGAGGCCCCCCGACGCAGCACAAAGAAGAUAGCUGAAGGGCACCGGAAGUGGCGGGCUUCAAGAACCAAGGUCCAAUUGACCUUCCUCGCAAUGACACAAC